Molecule: small nuclear RNA, 22 nt
Filed under: Arabidopsis thaliana (thale cress)
Lineage: Eukaryota; Viridiplantae; Streptophyta; Magnoliopsida; Brassicales; Brassicaceae
Description: snRNA_19149
Source: RNAcentral
UAAACUCAUAUUUAUCAUACAA